GACGAACGCUGGCGGCGUGCUUAACACAUGCAAGUCGAACGCUGAAGCUCAGCUUGCUGGGUGGAUGAGUGGCGAACGGGUGAGUAACACGUGAGUAACCUGCCCUCUUCUUUGGGAUAACGCCCGGAAACGGGUGCUAAUACUGGAUAUUCACUGAUUCUCGCAUGGGGGUUGGUGGAAAGGUUUUUUCUGGUGGGGGAUGGGCUCGCGGCCUAUCAGCUUGUUGGUGGGGUGAUGGCCUACCAAGGCUUUGACGGGUAGCCGGCCUGAGAGGGUGACCGGUCACAUUGGGACUGAGAUACGGCCCAGACUCCUACGGGAGGCAGCAGUGGGGAAUAUUGCACAAUGGGCGAAAGCCUGAUGCAGCGACGCCGCGUGAGGGAUGGAGGCCUGCGGGUUGUAAACCUCUUUCGCUCAUGGUCAAGCCGCAGCUUUGGGUUGUGGUGAGGGUAGUGGGUAAAGAAGCGCCGGCUAACUACGUG
Molecule: ribosomal RNA, 482 nt
Filed under: uncultured bacterium
Lineage: Bacteria
Description: partial 16S ribosomal RNA
Rfam family: Bacterial small subunit ribosomal RNA
Source: RNAcentral